This 773-nucleotide long non-coding RNA is filed under the name Pan troglodytes (chimpanzee). RNAcentral's name for it is "lncRNA (ENSPTRG00000054116.1)". The record is from RNAcentral. Lineage: Eukaryota; Metazoa; Chordata; Mammalia; Primates; Hominidae.
CUGGAGAAUUUGAUGAAUUCUAUGCAUCUGAAAGGCCUCCGAUGCUUAAGACCUUUUUUUUCUUUUCAAGUCUCAAACAUUUAUUGAACACGUAUAUGUGCCAAGCGCUAUUCUCAAACUGCCCCAUGAGGAAUGGACCACAGAGCUCCAUUUUACAGAUGAAAGAAACCAAGGCUUCAAAAGGAAGCUACACUGAAGCAGAAAGAACUAGUGGUACCCCUGGAAGCCACACCUGCUCUUCCUAUGCUCCAGGGCUCUGUGCCAUUCCUGCAGCUUGAGCCAGGAGGAAUGUUUGCAAGGAUACCAGCCAUUUUGCCAAUGUGCACAGUUUUUCUUUAGUCAUUACUGGAGGAGACUGACUUUCUUCUGUUUCAAAUAUCUAAAGAUCACUUUCAGAGCAAACUGGGAGUAAACUAACUGGAUGGGCUAAUCCUACCUUGGAUCCUCCUCUGCCAUUUCAUUGUUAGAAUCAAUUUCUGCAGGAGUAUUUCACAUAUUUUACUGUCAGUGUCUCUGCAAACCCAACACAUUAUGGAGGAGAGAGCAAGCCUCUGAAGCCAGACACACCUGAGAUUAAAUCCUGGUUCUGCCAUUUUAUUAGCCAUGUGACUUUAAAAGGUUACUUAAUCUCUCAGGGCCUUGAUUUCCUCAUCUGUAAAAUCGGGUAAGAAUGCCUACUUUGUUUUAUUUGUUGUUGUUGUUUUGUCCGGUUUGGGGUGUUUGUUUGUUUGAUAGAGACAGUGUCGUACUCUUGCCCAAGCUGGAGUGCACUG